Molecule: ribosomal RNA, 465 nt
Filed under: Vreelandella stevensii
Lineage: Bacteria; Pseudomonadati; Pseudomonadota; Gammaproteobacteria; Oceanospirillales; Halomonadaceae
Description: partial 16S ribosomal RNA
Rfam family: Bacterial small subunit ribosomal RNA
Source: RNAcentral
CCUACGGGGGGCUGCAGUGGGGAAUAUUGGACAAUGGGGGCAACCCUGAUCCAGCCAUGCCGCGUGUGUAAAGAAGGCCCUCGGGUUGUAAAGCACUUUCAGUGAGGAAGAACGCCUGGUGGUUAAUACCCAUCAGGAAAGACAUCACUCACAGAAGAAGCACCGGCUAACUCCGUGCCAGCAGCCGCGGUAAUACGGAGGGUGCGAGCGUUAAUCGGAAUUACUGGGCGUAAAGCGCGCGUAGGUGGCUUGAUAAGCCGGUUGUGAAAGCCCCGGGCUCAACCUGGGAACGGCAUCCGGAACUGUCAAGCUAGAGUGCAGGAGAGGAAGGUAGAAUUCCCGGUGUAGCGGUGAAAUGCGUAGAGAUCGGGAGGAAUACCAGUGGCGAAGGCGGCCUUCUGGACUGACACUGACACUGAGGUGCGAAAGCGUGGGUAGCAAACAGGAUUAGAUACCCCAGUAGUC